Molecule: long non-coding RNA, 383 nt
Organism: Tympanuchus pallidicinctus (lesser prairie-chicken)
Lineage: Eukaryota; Metazoa; Chordata; Aves; Galliformes; Phasianidae
Exons: 3
Source: RefSeq, a predicted model, not a curated record
CGUGGUGAAUGAUGUGGUGAGGCAUCCCGGCAAUUUUCAACAGGAAUACUUCAAGGCAGCUUUUCAAGGUUUCUUUGAGAACUUUCCAAGUCUCCAGGAAUUUUAAGCGCCAAGGUUUCUUAGCCUUCCGAAUGGCAGUGUUUCUAUCUAAGCUGGCAGCCUUUAAACCCAAACCCAAAACGAAGCUUGCUCAUCUCAGUGGAGGAAGAAAAGCUUGAUGUCUGUGCCAAGGGAGACGUACACCGCACUUGCGCUGCCUGGACGAUGUGGAAACUGGAAAUUGUGGGGUGUGCUGAAGCAUGCCCUCUCAGGCGACAUCUGCACUCUGCUCAGUCCAAGGAGAAUCCCUGCCCGCAGAUGCAAUGACACAGCAUGGCUCACCA